GUGGUGUUUCACUCGGAAAAAAUAGAGUGCAUUCAAAGGGCAAAUCGCUUUUCUACCACGCGAGAGAAGCGUCUCGGGGAAAGGGCGAAGAGUGCGUUUGCGUAUGUGUGUG
Non-coding RNA from Caenorhabditis elegans, 112 nucleotides. NCBI's taxonomy places the organism in Eukaryota, Metazoa, Nematoda, Chromadorea, Rhabditida, Rhabditidae. The record is from Ensembl.